This 253-nucleotide ribosomal RNA is filed under the name uncultured bacterium. RNAcentral describes it as "partial 16S ribosomal RNA". It matches the Rfam family "Bacterial small subunit ribosomal RNA", at positions 524 to 776 of the family's 1533-position model. The record is from RNAcentral.
UACGGAGGGUGCAAGCGUUAAUCGGAAUUACUGGGCGUAAAGCGCGCGUAGGCGGUUAUUUAAGUCAGCUGUGAAAGCCCCGGGCUUAACCUGGGAACUGCAGUUGAUACUGGAUGACUAGAGUACGAGAGAGGGAGGUAGAAUUCCACGUGUAGCGGUGAAAUGCGUAGAUAUGUGGAGGAAUACCAGUGGCGAAGGCGGCCUCCUGGCUCGAUACUGACGCUGAGGUGCGAAAGCGUGGGGAGCAAACAGG